RNAcentral lists this ribosomal RNA (133 nucleotides) under uncultured bacterium. RNAcentral's name for it is "partial 16S ribosomal RNA". It matches the Rfam family "Bacterial small subunit ribosomal RNA", at positions 355 to 483 of the family's 1533-position model. The record is from RNAcentral.
UGGGGAAUAUUGGACAAUGGGGGGAACCCUGAUCCAGCCAUGCCGCGUGUGUGAAGAAGGCCUUUUGGUUGUAAAGCACUUUAAGCGAGGAGGAGGCUACCGAGAUUAAUACUCGUGGAUAGUGGACGUACCG